This 497-nucleotide ribosomal RNA is filed under the name uncultured bacterium. RNAcentral describes it as "partial 16S ribosomal RNA". It matches the Rfam family "Bacterial small subunit ribosomal RNA", at positions 28 to 507 of the family's 1533-position model. The record is from RNAcentral.
GAUGAAUGCUGGCGGCGUGCCUAAUACAUGCAAGUCGAGCGAACAGACGAGGAGCUUGCUCCUCUGACGUUAGCGGCGGACGGGUGAGUAACACGUGGAUAACCUACCUAUAAGACUGGGAUAACUUCGGGAAACCGGAGCUAAUACCGGAUAAUAUAUUGAACCGCAUGGUUCAAUAGUGAAAGACGGUUUUGCUGUCACUUAUAGAUGGAUCCGCGCCGCAUUAGCUAGUUGGUAAGGUAACGGCUUACCAAGGCGACGAUGCGUAGCCGACCUGAGAGGGCGAUCGGCCACACUGGAACUGAGACACGGUCCAGACUCCUACGGGAGGCAGCAGUAGGGAAUCUUCCGCAAUGGGCGAAAGCUUGACGGAGCAACGCCGCGUGAGUGAUGAAGGUCUUCGGAUCGUAAAACUCUGUUAUUAGGGAAGAACAAAUGUGUAAGUAACUAUGCACGUCUUGACGGUACCUAAUCAGAAAGCCACGGCUAACUACGUG